CAGUCGCCACGGUAAUACAGAGGGUGCGAGCGUUAAUCGGAUUUACUGGGCGUAAAGCGUGCGUAGGCGGCUUCUUAAGUCGGAUGUGAAAUCCCUGAGCUUAACUUAGGAAUUGCAUUCGAUACUGGGAAGCUAGAGUAUGGGAGAGGAUGGUAGAAUUCCAGGUGUAGCGGUGAAAUGCGUAGAGAUCUGGAGGAAUACCGAUGGCGAAGGCAGCCAUCUGGCCUAAUACUGACGCUGAGGUACGAAAGCAUGGGGAGCAAACAGGAUUAGAUACCCCAGAGUCCCUGUCUCUUAUACA
RNAcentral lists this ribosomal RNA (301 nucleotides) under uncultured bacterium. Its description in RNAcentral is "partial 16S ribosomal RNA". It matches the Rfam family "Bacterial small subunit ribosomal RNA", at positions 509 to 808 of the family's 1533-position model. The record is from RNAcentral.